GACGUUAGCUGCAGAAGAAGCACCGGCUAACUCCGUGCCAGCAGCCGCGGUAAUACGGAGGGUGCGAGCGUUAAUCGGAAUUACUGGGCGUAAAGCGCAUGCAGGUGGUUUGUUAAGUCAGAUGUGAAAGCCCCGGGGCUCAACCUCGGAAUUGCAUUUUGAAACUGGCAAACUAGAGUACUGUAGAGGGGGUAGAAUUUCAGGUGUAGCGGUGAAAAUGCGUAGAGAUCUGAAGGAAUACCGGUGGCGAAGGCGGCCCCCCUGGACAGAUACUGACACUCAGAUGCGAAAGCGUGGGGAGCAAACAGGAUUAGAUACCCCUGGUAG
RNAcentral lists this ribosomal RNA (327 nucleotides) under uncultured bacterium. Its description in RNAcentral is "bacterial SSU rRNA". It matches the Rfam family "Bacterial small subunit ribosomal RNA", at positions 471 to 793 of the family's 1533-position model. The record is from RNAcentral.